RNAcentral lists this ribosomal RNA (115 nucleotides) under Aotus nancymaae (Ma's night monkey). Lineage: Eukaryota; Metazoa; Chordata; Mammalia; Primates; Aotidae. The record is from RNAcentral.
GUAUAGGGCGUACCAGCCUGAAUGUGCCUGAUUUCAUCUGAUCUUGGAGGCUAAGCAGGGCCGGGCCUGGUUAGUGCUUGGUGGAGAGAUCUGGGAAUACUGGGUGCUGUAGACU